Molecule: ribosomal RNA, 895 nt
Filed under: Trichoderma harzianum
Lineage: Eukaryota; Fungi; Ascomycota; Sordariomycetes; Hypocreales; Hypocreaceae
Description: LSU rRNA
Rfam family: Eukaryotic large subunit ribosomal RNA
Source: RNAcentral
GCAUAUCAAUAAGCGGAGGAAAAGAAACCAACAGGGAUUGCCCCAGUAACGGCGAGUGAAGCGGCAACAGCUCAAAUUUGAAAUCUGGUCCCUAGGGCCCGAGUUGUAAUUUGUAGAGGAUGCUUUUGGUGAGGUGCCGCCCGAGUUCCCUGGAACGGGACGCCACAGAGGGUGAGAGCCCCGUCUGGCUGGCCGCCGAGCCUCUGUAAAGCUCCUUCGACGAGUCGAGUAGUUUGGGAAUGCUGCUCAAAAUGGGAGGUAUAUGUCUUCUAAAGCUAAAUAUUGGCCAGAGACCGAUAGCGCACAAGUAGAGUGAUCGAAAGAUGAAAAGCACCUUGAAAAGAGGGUUAAAUAGUACGUGAAAUUGUUGAAAGGGAAGCGCUUGUGACCAGACUUGGGCGCGGCGGAUCAUCCGGGGUUCUCUCCGGUGCACUUCGCCGCGUCUAGGCCAGCAUCAGUUCGUCGCGGGGGAAAAAGGCUUCGGGAACGUGGCUCCUCCGGGAGUGUUAUAGCCCGUUGCAUAAUACCCUGCGGUGGACUGAGGACCGCGCAUCUGCAAGGAUGCUGGCGUAAUGGUCACCAGCGACCCGUCUUGAAACACGGACCAAGGAGUCGUCUUCGUAUGCGAGUGUUCGGGUGUCAAACCCCUACGCGUAAUGAAAGUGAACGCAGGUGAGAGCUUCGGCGCAUCAUCGACCGAUCCUGAUGUUCUCGGAUGGAUUUGAGUAAGAGCAUACGGGGCCGGACCCGAAAGAAGGUGAACUAUGCCUGUAUAGGGUGAAGCCAGAGGAAACUCUGGUGGAGGCUCGCAGCGGUUCUGACGUGCAAAUCGAUCGUCAAAUAUGGGCAUGGGGGCGAAAGACUAAUCGAACCUUCUAGUAGCUGGUUUCCGCCG